AAAAAAAGAACUCAUGGAAGAGAACAUUUGUUUUACACGUGGAAAGUUAAAUGUUCAAACCACUUAUUUUUUA
Molecule: transfer RNA, 73 nt
Filed under: Bipolaris sorokiniana
Lineage: Eukaryota; Fungi; Ascomycota; Dothideomycetes; Pleosporales; Pleosporaceae
Description: tRNA-Val
Source: RNAcentral